AAACGACUCUCGGCAACGGAUAUCUUGGCUCUUGCAUCGAUGAAGAACGUAGCGAAAUGCGAUACUUGGUGUGAAUUGCAGAAUCCCGUGAACCAUCGAGUCUUUGAACGCAAGUUGCGCCCGAAGCCUUCUGGCCGAGGGCACGUCUGCCUGGG
Molecule: ribosomal RNA, 155 nt
Filed under: Hypericum inodorum
Lineage: Eukaryota; Viridiplantae; Streptophyta; Magnoliopsida; Malpighiales; Hypericaceae
Description: 5.8S ribosomal RNA
Rfam family: 5.8S ribosomal RNA
About the family: 5.8S ribosomal RNA (5.8S rRNA) is a component of the large subunit of the eukaryotic ribosome. It is transcribed by RNA polymerase I as part of the 45S precursor that also contains 18S and 28S rRNA.
Source: RNAcentral